Molecule: ribosomal RNA, 496 nt
Filed under: uncultured bacterium
Lineage: Bacteria
Description: partial 16S ribosomal RNA
Rfam family: Bacterial small subunit ribosomal RNA
Source: RNAcentral
GAUGAACGCUGGCGGCGUGCCUAAUACAUGCAAGUCGAGCGAACAGACGAGGAGCUUGCUCCUCUGACGUUAGCGGCGGACGGGUGAGUAACACGUGGAUAACCUACCUAUAAGACUGGGAUAACUUCGGGAAACCGGAGCUAAUACCGGAUAAUAUAUUGAACCGCAUGGUUCAAUAGCGAAAGACGGUUUUGCUGUCACUUAUAGAUGGAUCCGCGCCGCAUUAGCUAGUUGGUAAGGUAACGGCUUACCAAGGCAACGAUGCGUAGCCGACCUGAGAGGGUGAUCGGCCACACUGGAACUGAGACACGGUCCAGACUCCUACGGGAGGCAGCAGUAGGGAAUCUUCCGCAAUGGGCGAAAGCCUGACGGAGCAACGCCGCGUGAGUGAUGAAGGUCUUCGGAUCGUAAAACUCUGUUAUUAGGGAAGAACAAAUGUGUAAGUAACGAUGCACGUCUUGACGGUACCUAAUCAGAAAGCCACGGCUAACUACGU